Non-coding RNA from Chiloscyllium plagiosum (whitespotted bambooshark), 361 nucleotides. The record is from RefSeq and is a predicted model, not a curated record. NCBI's taxonomy places the organism in Eukaryota, Metazoa, Chordata, Chondrichthyes, Orectolobiformes, Hemiscylliidae.
ACCACAAGCCUGUGCAGAAUGAGCAUGAGGAAAAUGCUUCUUCAUGGCAAAGGCCCAAUGUGUGCAGAGUCAAUCAUACCCAGCAUUGGGCCUUGCCUCCUGAGGAUGGGAAGGGGGGUGCUGAUGUGGCAGUAGUCCUGGACUUUGAGAUCUGCUGGCCAUUUGGAGGAUCCCAGAUUUUCAUUGCAGAAGACUCAAAGAACCAUGUCCAGGUCCAAUUCUCUAGGACACCCGGAUCCAUCUGCAGUUCUGCAGUUGUUCAACAUUUAGAGAGGUCGUAAAACACACAGACUCCAAAAAGUGUGGGGAUGAAGGAUUUCAACGCCAAUUUGAUUAUAGCUAACAGAUACUGCCUCAGGCA